CGCCAUCCCAGUUCGGAUCGCAGGCUGCAACCCGCCUGCGUGAAGUUGGAAUCGCUAGUAAUCGCGGAUCAGCAUGCCGCGGUGAAUACGUUCCCGGGCCUUGUACACACCGCCCGUCACACCAUGAGAGUCGGGAACACCCGAAGUCCGUAGCCUAACCGCAAGGGGGGCGCGGCCGAAGGUGGGUUCGAUAAUUGGGGUGAAGUCGUAACAAGGUACC
This 220-nucleotide ribosomal RNA is filed under the name uncultured bacterium. RNAcentral's name for it is "partial 16S ribosomal RNA". It matches the Rfam family "Bacterial small subunit ribosomal RNA", at positions 1281 to 1500 of the family's 1533-position model. The record is from RNAcentral.